Molecule: long non-coding RNA, 1541 nt
Organism: Canis lupus familiaris (dog)
Lineage: Eukaryota; Metazoa; Chordata; Mammalia; Carnivora; Canidae
Exons: 6
Source: RefSeq, a predicted model, not a curated record
AGCGGCCGGGAGAGGUCCCGCGGCUGCACCCUCUGCAUCAACCCCUCACCCCUACGCUACGCGCGGCCCCAGGCUCCCGGGCCAAGCAGUACCCCGGGGCCGGCGCCGGCCUUCCCGCCCCGCGGAGUGCAGACCCCCUGGAGGGGCAGGGCCAGAGGGUGCAGCCCGGGGGCCCCUGAGCGCCAACACGCUGGGCCACCUCAGGCAAGGCACGUCGCCUCCCAGAGUCCUGGCGUCCUCUUCUGCGGAUGGAGGGGAUGACAGGGAGCCUGCCGGGUCGUGAAAGGUUUUCAAGGAGACGGAGGUCAGCAAAACGCACUUUGUCAACAGUCAAGGACCGCGCAGCACGUGCUGCCGCGGUUCAGCCCUGGGAGGGGCACCCGCUGCCCCCAGGAGUCUGUCCUGAAUCUGUAUGUCCAGAUUCCUUCAUUCGCUGGAGAAAUCUGUGACGGCUUUUUAAAGAUGGCUCGUGCGCGCCCUUUCUCGCUGAUCUUAGUAGGAUCCCAAUGGUCCCUUGGAAAUUCAGAGCUCCAACUGGAUGGAGAAGGGUUCUUCCCCCGGGGGCUUGAGUCCUCCCCUUCUCCCCUGGUUCCCCCACCUUCCCUCGGCCCCUGGGACCGCCCCCCACGAGAGGUAAGGACUGGCACAGUCAUGGAUGGGUUCCAGUGCCAGGCACUGUGCCCUGUGAGACAUGAUUGGCUCCAUUUUGCAGAUGAAGGGAACAGAGACUGAAAGGUAAAAUGACGUCCCCAGAUGUGACACGUGUAGUGAAAAGAACCAUCAGCCCUCGAGGACAGGGCGGUGACAUUAGGGAGACCCCAACAGCAAAAGCUAAAUAAAGGAAGUAGGAAUUCCCACAGAUGCAACAUCAGCUAUCACUGGCUGCUGAGAAUUUCCAAAGAAGGAAAAUCUCAACUUCCCAUAGAAGCCAGGAAGCUCGCUUUUGCACUCCCAGAGGUGGGACAAGGAUUGAAGUUUCCUAUUUAUGCUUUUCUCAAAGAAGCUGCUCGAUGGUGAAAGUUUCUACAUGGCCCUGGAAAGUCAGAGGCAUCAAGAUGGGAGAAUUGCUUGGCUGAUCCCCGUCUGGCUCGUGAUAUGGACUUCUCAGAGCCUUCAACAUGCCAUGACUUUCCAUAAGAAUGUAUACAGCAUGCAACUUUUUUUCAGCCUUCUUUUCCUUUUGUGGGACACCUGCUGUUUCAGACAGCACUGCAUGAACUGCUCCAGGAUGGCAAAACCAGAGACAAAUGCUUGGGGUCCUGAGCAGAUCACACAGCCUGGGGAGGGAGGUGGUGCCAGGAGCAGAUCCAGCCAGCACCAGCAGGAAUGCACCAGGCCAGAUGAGGAAAUGACUGAGACCUGCUCAAGAGUACAGAGGUCACAGUAGGGAGGCUGGGCUCCUAUUCCAGUCUUCAGUCCCCAAAUUCUGACCUCUCUAGUUGACCUCACAUGGGGACAGCUAUGCUUCGAACCAGAUACUGGCCAGGGGCUGUGAACAGGAAGAGGCAGAGAAAAGUGGAAGAGGAACCUAUUCUAGAAAA